AUAUAGAUUGAAAAAAUUAAUUUUGUAAAUUAAAAUAAAACCAAUCA
This 47-nucleotide transfer RNA is filed under the name Nothopoda sp. Its description in RNAcentral is "tRNA-Thr". Lineage: Eukaryota; Metazoa; Arthropoda; Arachnida; Trombidiformes; Eriophyidae. The record is from RNAcentral.